RNAcentral lists this ribosomal RNA (409 nucleotides) under Verrucomicrobiota bacterium. Its description in RNAcentral is "Verrucomicrobia bacterium partial 16S ribosomal RNA". It matches the Rfam family "Bacterial small subunit ribosomal RNA", at positions 355 to 776 of the family's 1533-position model. The record is from RNAcentral. Lineage: Bacteria; Pseudomonadati; Verrucomicrobiota.
UGGGGAAUAUUGCACAAUGGGCGGAAGCCUGAUGCAGCGACGCCGCGUGAGGGAUGACGGCCUUCGGGUUGUAAACCUCUUUCAGUAGGGACGAAGCGUAAGUGACGGUACCUGCAGAAGAAGCACCGGCUAACUACGUGCCAGCAGCCGCGGUAAUACGUAGGGUGCGAGCGUUGUCCGGAAUUACUGGGCGUAAAGAGCUCGUAGGCGGUUUGUCACGUCGUCUGUGAAAUCCUAGGGCUUAACCCUGGACGUGCAGGCGAUACGGGCUGACUUGAGUACUACAGGGGAGAGGGGGAUUUCUGGUGUGGCGGUGGAAUGCACAGAUAUCAAGAAGAACACCGAUGGCGAAGGCAGGGCUCUGGGUAGUAACUGACGCUGAGGAGCGAAAGCAUGGGUAGCGAACAGG